UGUUAAACUCUUUUAUUAAGUUUUUCUUCAAUUUUAGCAUGAACUAAUUUCUAUCUUCUAGAGUUUGUGAUGCAGCCUAAUUAUGAUUAUGUGAAUCCUUCUUUACUUGAAUUAAUUGGUAUUUGUUCAAUUGUUGAGUAUCUCAUUCUGGACUUAAUGCUUGUGAAUGACUUAUCACCAUUUACAUGAGUUGGGAUUCAAUUUGAGACAGAGAAGUAAUAAUUGUUUCAGCCUGUGUUUGAGAUACCACAGGGAUUCUGUAGGAUAGAGAUAUCUAUGGACUUCUAUAAUCUUUAUGGGUUUGUCUUUGUU
This 312-nucleotide long non-coding RNA is filed under the name Olea europaea (common olive). RNAcentral's name for it is "long non-coding RNA (OEUR_LNC006794)". The record is from RNAcentral. Lineage: Eukaryota; Viridiplantae; Streptophyta; Magnoliopsida; Lamiales; Oleaceae.